AUGCCUACACAUAGGGAACCGGCGACGGAAUUGGUGAUGUUUGAACAACGGGUUUGUUGUAUCAAAGUAGUCCUUUCAGAGAAGGAAAUGUCCGCUCUCUCGGUUACGAUUCAACGCCGGAAGGUGGCUCGGAAUGGAGCCACGGAACAACGGUCGCUGGUUGUUGAGGUGGUGAUGGACCAACACGGCAGCCAAUAUCUCCUCCUCGUCGUCGGACAACGAGUCGUCGGAGUCGCAAAUGAAAUUGUGGAAAAAGAACUCGUCGGCGGAGUCCAUUUUUGUACCUUGGCAAACUGUCGAACAGCUUGCGGGCGUCGAAGAAGGAGGCGGCCGGCGAGGGGAGACGCGGCACCCACAGACCAGCUAGCUGCCCGGCCGGCGUUCGACGAGUGUGACGGCGUCCGACGAGCGUGCCGGUCGUAUGUGGCGGGGGCGGCGAGGCCUCUUCUUGGUCGCGGGCGGCUGUGCGGUGGGGGAAGCGGCGGCGGGAACUACUUUGCUCCCCGGCGGCGGCGGGCGACUGGGGACAGGGGCGGCGUUGCUGGGCGGAUGUGGAGGCGGCGGCAGCUGGAAGAGUCGCCGCAAAAAUCGGCGGCGGCGUCGGUGACGGAGGAGGCGGGGGGCGAGGGUUGCUUGUUGGCCGGGGGGAGGGAGGCCAAUGUGCCACAGACCAGCGGGCCCGGGGACAGGAGUAGGCGACCGCGCGCGCGCCCGUCGCGUGUCCGCGCCGACGCAAAUCAUGCUCAAAUAUGGGCCGGGAAUGGGUCUCCCGCGGACGAAAAACGGACGCGCGUCCGUUUGGGUCGGCGCGUUGGGCCGCCUUUUCUGUCCGCGCUGACCCAAAUGGACGGCCGCGGACGAAAUGGGUCGCCCCAUUGGAGUUGCUCUUAUAUAUUAUUUAAGUCAAUCUGA
This 912-nucleotide ribosomal RNA is filed under the name Triticum aestivum (bread wheat). Its description in RNAcentral is "partial small subunit ribosomal RNA". The record is from RNAcentral. Lineage: Eukaryota; Viridiplantae; Streptophyta; Magnoliopsida; Poales; Poaceae.